GAUGAACGCUGGCGGCGUGCCUAAUACAUGCAAGUCGAGCGAACAGACGAGGAGCUUGCUCCUCUGACGUUAGCGGCGGACGGGUGAGUAACACGUGGAUAACCUACCUAUAAGACUGGGAUAACUUCGGGAAACCGGAGCUAAUACCGGAUAAUAUAUUGAACCGCAUGGUUCAAUAGUGAAAGACGGUUUUGCUGUCACUUAUAGAUGGAUCCGCGCCGCAUUAGCUAGUUGGUAAGGUAACGGCUUACCAAGGCAACGAUGCGUAGCCGACCUGAGAGGGUGAUCGGCCACACUGGAACUGAGACCCGGUCCAGACUCCUACGGGAGGCAGCAGUAGGGAAUCUUCCGCAAUGGGCGAAAGCCUGACGGAGCAACGCCGCGUGAGUGAUGAAGGUCUUCGGAUCGUAAAACUCUUUUAUUAGGGAAGAACAAAUGUGUAAGUAACUAUGCACGUCUUGACGGUACCUAAUCAGAAAGCCACGGCUAACUACGUG
This 497-nucleotide ribosomal RNA is filed under the name uncultured bacterium. RNAcentral describes it as "partial 16S ribosomal RNA". It matches the Rfam family "Bacterial small subunit ribosomal RNA", at positions 28 to 507 of the family's 1533-position model. The record is from RNAcentral.